CUUCGCUUCGUCAAUCACCGGUGGAAGGAGGAGACAAAUUUUUCGGUGGAAGAUUACUAGGUUUCGCUACAGUAGCCGUCCAUUUUCUUAGGGUUUUUUCAUGGUCGCCGCUCUCUAACCUUUUUCUCUUCUCCCCCUCGCCGCUACCUAACCCCUCCUUUUAUACUCACCAUGUUAGGGUUUCAGAUUCGGCUUAUGGAGAUCAAAAGGGUAUCUCUUGGAAGUGCUUUAAGGUGCUCAGUUUGUUUGCCUCAUUUUGGUACUUAAUCUGAAAAAGGUUCGGCAAUGGAAUAUUUGAUGCGUUUGACGGUUUGAACUGUUAUUGCAGACUUAACAUUAACAACAAUCGGAUUCGGCAAGCCUGAAUCAGAUAACGGUGAAGUAUCAGAACCGUCUGAAGCUCCACUUCCAUCCAGAGAUACAUUGGCUGGUUUGAUUUUGGCUUUUAAACCUUUGUGAAAUGCCCCAGUAUACACAUGGGCUUUUAGCCAAUUGACUAUUUCGUGUUGCACAUCAGGGGCCAUAUAACCUUCCUGCAAAUUGAUAUUUGCAGUCAAUGACAACUGCAACUUCAAUCAAGUCUAUAUUUGCACCAUCUGUACGUGGCUCAGCAGUUCCUGAUUUUAGGAGAUUUGAGAUUGUAUCAUGCUUAUUGCAUUUCUCAACAAUGCCAAAACCUAAAAGUGCUGCAUUUGAGCAGGAUUCUUGUGCAUCAAUUGAUACCGGCCAUUGAGAAGAGGAAUCAACAUUAACGGGCUGACUUUCAUCAAACCAUUUAUUUCGCUGUUAACUUGUUGAACUUCGAGCUGAUGGACACUUUUUUGCAGGCAUUUAUUCAAGUUAUGAACGGUACACUCUACACCCAAGUUAGUUCGCAUUGCAGGAGGAUGUGUCUAAGUCCACAUAUUAGAUGACUUGGUCAUCUACGUCAACUG
Lathyrus oleraceus (garden pea) is the source of this 935-nucleotide long non-coding RNA. RefSeq lists it as uncharacterized. The record is from RefSeq and is a predicted model, not a curated record. The transcript is spliced from 4 exons. NCBI's taxonomy places the organism in Eukaryota, Viridiplantae, Streptophyta, Magnoliopsida, Fabales, Fabaceae.